AACGAACGCUGGCGGCAGGCUUAACACAUGCAAGUCGAACGCCCCGCAAGGGGAGUGGCAGACGGGUGAGUAACGCGUGGGAAUCUACCUAGUUCUACGGAACAACACAGGGAAACUUGUGCUAAUACCGUAUACGCCCUACGGGGAAAGAUUUAUCGGAAUUAGAUGAGCCCGCGUAAGAUUAGCUAGUUGGUGAGGUA
This 200-nucleotide ribosomal RNA is filed under the name uncultured bacterium. Its description in RNAcentral is "partial 16S ribosomal RNA". It matches the Rfam family "Bacterial small subunit ribosomal RNA", at positions 29 to 259 of the family's 1533-position model. The record is from RNAcentral.